RNAcentral lists this long non-coding RNA (1183 nucleotides) under Fukomys damarensis (Damara mole-rat). RNAcentral describes it as "lncRNA (ENSFDAG00000032406.1)". Lineage: Eukaryota; Metazoa; Chordata; Mammalia; Rodentia; Bathyergidae. The record is from RNAcentral.
AUGCGCCCAAGAGACCCGUCUCCGCUAAAGUGUCAGGAGGAGGAGACAGCGAUGUUCUCUAAAGUGGUCCCCUGCGCGUCUGGAGGUUGGCUUGGUGCUGAGUUCGGGGUGGUGAAAACGUUCACUGUCAUGGAAGAGGAGGCCAGCCGGGAGGGCCGGAGCUGUGAGGUCGGUAACAAGUUUCUGCUGCUCAGAAGGAAACAGCGAAAGCCCUGGAGAUUCUGCAGGAAAGCUACGUUCGGUGUUUAUAGGUAUUCAACUCAGCACUUCCUGAAGAAACACUUCGCUGUAUACCAAGAUCACAGCAUGACAAUUCUGGGCAAAGUGGCCUCAGUAGUCCUGGAUAACUCCUGCUGGCAGGCGAUAUCGGAGGCGCAGUGAGGGACCCCGCUUUCUCCACAGCCAUCCAGUCCCAUUCGGCGCCGAGUUGUCUUCCACACCAGUCUCGCUUCUCUCCUUCCGGCUGGGCCCAGUGUUGCACCCAGGUCCGAGUCUUUACCAGCGGACGCUGGGCAUCCCUAGCCCCCGGACACUGGGGAUCUGUGACGCUGUGACACCCGAAAUUUUCAAAGUCCCGAUACGAUGUCACGAGAGAAAAGUUCCACAACGCGAAGCAUUAUUUUGUGCCCAAAAUUAUGGGAAAGAAAACGAUACGACGUUGCCUUCAGGUGACGUGUGAGUGAAUUUUGCGUGUGGACAAGGCUCCCACCCCGAGAGACCCCAGCAUGCACCUGCAGACGCUGCACAAUUUAAAAACCAUCUGAAAUCCCAGGCACUUGUGGUCUCAGGCGUCUCAGGUAGGGGAGGCGGCCCGAACCUCCAGACCUCCCCCUACCUGUGGACGGGUGGGUGCACCGCACUUCCGCUUGCUGGUCGCUCUGUAGUUUGGGAAUCUGGGGGACGGCGGAGGAGUCGUGGAGGCGAGAGGGGCAGGGAUGUGUGGAGCGCCGUUAGCAGCCUUUACAAGCCGGGGUCACGGCCGGGUUCGCGGCCGGGAUCUCAAGUUGGCCUCUCACGGUUGCAGCUGCCAAAGCAAUAUUGAAGCCGGUGGCUUAUGAAAGGGCCUGGCAGGCGGCUCCGGGAAUCUUUUUGCACCUCUUAAUUUUGCAGAGAAAAGGGGGUACCUCAUCGGGACAGGACUUUUGGGAGCGCCAGGGCCAGAGAUGGACACAUUUCCCAGGGC